RNAcentral lists this ribosomal RNA (251 nucleotides) under uncultured prokaryote. RNAcentral's name for it is "partial 16S rRNA". It matches the Rfam family "Bacterial small subunit ribosomal RNA", at positions 525 to 775 of the family's 1533-position model. The record is from RNAcentral.
ACGUAGGUGGCAAGCGUUGUCCGGAUUUACUGGGUGUAAAGGGCGCGUAGGCGGGAAUGCAAGUCAGAUGUGAAAUCUAUGGGCUUAACCCAUAAACUGCAUUUGAAACUGCAUUUCUUGAGUAUCGGAGAGGCAGGCGGAAUUCCUAGUGUAGCGGUGAAAUGCGUAGAUAUUAGGAGGAACACCAGUGGCGAAGGCGGCCUGCUGGACGACAACUGACGCUGAGGCGCGAAAGCGUGGGGAGCAAACAG